Molecule: ribosomal RNA, 253 nt
Filed under: uncultured bacterium
Lineage: Bacteria
Description: partial 16S ribosomal RNA
Rfam family: Bacterial small subunit ribosomal RNA
Source: RNAcentral
UACGGAGGGGGCUAGCGUUGUUCGGAAUUACUGGGCAUAAAGCGCACGUAGGCGGCUUUGUAAGUUAGAGGUGAAAGCCCAGGGCUUAACCCUGGAAUUGCCUUUAAGACUGCAUCGCUAGAAUCGUGGAGAGGUGAGUGGAAUUCCGAGUGUAGAGGUGAAAUUCGUAGAUAUUCGGAAGAACACCAGUGGCGAAGGCGACUCACUGGACACGUAUUGACGCUGAGGUGCGAAAGCGUGGGGAGCAAACAGG